ACACAAAGUCCAUUAAUUUGGGCCCUUGCUUUAUGUAUAACUGUUUUGGAAAAAACAAUUUAUUUGUGUAAAUAACUUACUGGGAGAUACGUGCACAUGAACAAAACUAAUGAUUUAAGAUUGUGGAAAAUUAUUGAGAAAAACUUGGGUUCACCAACCAAUCAAAAAAAUAGUAUAUUAAAUAUAGUCUUUUUCAUAAAAGGAAACAAAAUAUUUUGAAUUUACUUCUUAAAAUAAAUAGAUAAAAAUAAAUAAAAAUAUUAGUAGUUGUAAAAAAAAAAUAUUUUUAAAAAAAUUGUUAAUGCUGUCCACCCUAAACCUUAAAUCAUAAACGCUAAAUCUA
Molecule: long non-coding RNA, 343 nt
Filed under: Brassica napus (rape)
Lineage: Eukaryota; Viridiplantae; Streptophyta; Magnoliopsida; Brassicales; Brassicaceae
Description: long non-coding RNA (BNAP_LNC007730)
Source: RNAcentral